This is a long non-coding RNA of Mus musculus (house mouse), 4756 nucleotides long. RefSeq annotates it as predicted gene, 38956. Lineage: Eukaryota; Metazoa; Chordata; Mammalia; Rodentia; Muridae. The transcript is spliced from 2 exons. The record is from RefSeq and is a predicted model, not a curated record.
AAGAAAGAAAGAAAGAAAGAAAGAAAGAAAGAAAGAAAGAAAGAAAGAAAGAAAGGUGUUUGGAGGGUUUCCUCCAUACUUCACCAUGGCCCUCAGAGGGAAGCCGAGUACCUGGACCCCUGGAGGAAUGCCUCCAGCCGGCACAGUGACACUGUGGGUGUCUUUACAGACAUUCUGCUUGCAAUAGUUUGAAACUGCAGUCUCCAGAGAGACCUUAGUCCUCUGCUGGCCUCCAACAUGAGUGGCUGAACUGUGCAUAUGCCGUCUCUUUUAAUUCUAGCCUCCAAGUAAGUGUGAAGGAGUAUGUCGUUUUCGUUUCGACUGUGGAGGUCAGAGGACAGCUUUCCGGAAUCCUUUCUCAUGUUCUACCCUGACUCAGGUUCGGAUUCAGGACACCAGGUUUGAGCAGCAGUUAUCACUACCUGAUGAGUCCCUCAUCUUUCACUUUUGCAUCUUAUUUCCACGUGGGCAGUCAACACUUAGUGAAGAUCUGUUUCCCUUCUAUCUUCCCAGAAUGCCCUUCCCCAGACCCGGAUCCUCUAGAAUAGUCACAGAGCUGAGUUGGGUUUUAACCCCAUACAACAUGAGCGCUCCUCUCUCCUCGCUGAGCUCUGAGUACCAGCUGAACUAGGUACUCCGACGCAACGCAUGCGCAGGGAAGUGCCACGCUGUUAUUUCUCUCACAUCCACGAGGGGUCGCACAACGCCUUCCAGAGUUCGCCCCAAGAACCUGCGCCUUAGUAAAUCCCUUCCCUCCGGAACCUCCCAUCUCUCCCAACACCACCUUCGGGUUUAAAGUUCCAGAGCUGUAUUCCUGGUUGUCCCAGAAACCUAUCCGUGCAGCCGCUUGGCGUGAUUUAACUGAGCUAUGGGAAGCAUGCAGUCUGACUCCUUCAUUCAGUACCCUAUACUGUGCUUUCCUCGUCAGCAAAAUGAUAAUCCCCACUGCGCUGAGCGCUAUCCAAGAGAGUGGGGAGCCUCAUCUCAUUUUGAGCAUGGUGUCCAGCACAUUCCAGGAGCCCGGUAUACCCCAGGUGCCUACUGAAAAAGUCAUUUUACCUAGAUGUCAAACUCUCCCUGUAAAACUCACCAUGUCCUCCUUGGCUUUUGUCUUCGUGGGCACCAGGGGCAGCAAGGUUUCCUGAGUGAGAUCUCUAUAAUGGAGGCAGACUUCAGGCCCUCAAGUCAGACGUAUACAUCGUUGCCAAUGUCUACCGUUGCUGGGUACAUCCAAGGAGUCUAUGGUCCAUCCAGACCUCAGACUGAUUGACCCUCAGCGUCUUCUGACCCCAGAACCUUGUCUCAGCCUCUUGAGGAGGAAAUGGAGGACUGGGCUAUCUCGGUCCCUCUCUUUCCAGACAAACCAUAUAGUCCACCAUGUCCAGUUUAUGUGGAGAUACGUGUAGGGUGUUCUGGGAAUGUUGGUAUCUCUGUCCCCUAACUUCUGUGGCACCCAGAUGCUGAAGCUGGGGUGAGGCAGGAGAAUGCCUCCCAUGGUUGGGGUUUUGCUGAGGCAAGGCUCUGAACUCCAAUGUUCAGCAGUCAAGCUCCCACAGCACAGCCUUGAUAAACUAAGGCAUUAUGAUACAUCACAGGCUAGGAUGAUACACCAAGAAAGAAGCCUGGCUGACAAUUCCAACACUAGCCUGUCACACCUUUUACCCUGUUUUUUGGUACUCUGGUACAGGCUGACUCAUCUUCUCCAGGACCGCAGGGUUUGUUUGUGCUCCUGGUAACUUGAAGGGUGGAGACAGGGCUCUUGGAUGUGGUUUCUAAGAGGUGAGGUGGGGUAGAAGGUAGACAAAGACGAGCUACUGGUUGUACACAGCAGAAAACCAGGCUGGCUAAUUCUGCCCAGUGAGAAUUUUCUGGAAGGGUGACUGAGCAGUCCACAGAAUCACCAGGUAAACUAAGAAGACCCAUCUCUUAAAUUGUCCAGGAACCCAUAAGACUGCAGUAGAACCACAGGAAAGGACUCUAGAGGACCGUCCUGCUGCCCCCAGGGUCAAGUUGCCCCUGGAUGCUGUUGCUGGGGACAUGAUGAAUGGCAUCUCUGAUGGCCCUGGCUUCUCAGGGGGCCCAGGUUCAGUGCCCACGAACUCUGUAGGGAUGUUGUGAGGGAUCUUUGGCCUGUAGGGGGUUCCCAUUCUGGAUUAGCCCCACCUCCACCAUGGUGUGUAGCUGCUAAGCAACCAAAACCAACAAACACCAACCUCUGUAAUUUCCCUGAAUUUGCCAUUGCCAAGAGGCAGUCUCCAACCUGCCUCCCGUAGGCAGCUGGCUACUCAGAGUACCGCUUGCAGAUGUGGGUCAGAGACCUCACGAAGCUCGGUGAAGCCGCCCAGACAAGUUGAGUGCUUCUAGAGAAUUCCUACGCCAGCCUUCUCUCCAUGGCUAGGGCCAUUGAACUCUGUCUCAGGCAUGGUUUAAAUCUUUAUGUAGAUUACAUUGGGUCUUAUAUCUGUUUUGUUUUGUUUGUUUGUUUAUAUGUGUGUACGUGUGCGCGUGCACACAAAUGCCAAUGCUGACACACAUGUACAGCCCAGAGGAAUACACCAGUGGCUUGUUUGAUUGCUCUCUUCUUAUUUCUGGGAAUCUACCUGUCCCCACCAUUAGAGCACAGCCAUGCCCAGCCGGGGGGCCUGGGGAUCCAGGCUCAGGUCCUUGUACUCUCAUCUCUCUGGCCCCUGAGAAUUAAUUUUAAAGUUUGACAGCAAUGACUAGGAUUAGACAGGUAAGCUGUAACAGGAAAUAAGAAGUAUUGAAUGUCUUGGGAGAGAAAGGGGGAAUGCGAUUGAAGGACCUGAAUGGGGAGCUAUGUGACCGGCGGGUAGAAUCCUCUGAGUGACUCAGAACUCCUGUCCCUGACUCAGCCCACCUUAGGAGCAAUGACCUCACACUGCAAUCUGUGUCCUCUUCCUGUCCCACUUCACUGAUCUCCCCAUUUCCUCGGCCCCUCAGUUAGUGUGUCCUUGGGGCUCAAGGCAAUAUGAAGUCUCAUGCUACACUGCUCAGUCUUGCCUACACAGCCUAGCUCCCAGGUCUCCUGGAUCUGGAGCCUGCAGACUCAACUUGGCUACCUUUCCCUGGGCCACAGUCAUGCUGGUCCUUGCCCCCACCCCCAACCCCCACCCCACACACACCUGCCGGUGAGGCCUGUGCACUGGCUGGUCCACACUGUGAAUGGACUUCUGCAUCCCCGCUGCAGGCAUGCCCAGGCAUGUUCUUGCGGUGAGGCAGAGAGCUGAUAAGGCCUCAGCUUAUCUCCCUGAACUCUGUGAAUGUUUCCCUGGCCAAAGAAAACCCAUGGCUGAGGCCAGAGUCCAUAUUGGGAGACAGCAGAAAUUGGUGGUAUACUCUGAGACAGGGGGAUUGGAGAACGUGAGACCUGCCAUGAAGGCCCGUGCUCCGAGUCCUUUGUGCCCAGUAGAUCUGCCUCUGCCAGUGUCUCUGUCUGUUGGAUGCCCUCUCAUUUUUGCCCUGUUAAGCGUGUAUGCCAGGCUUGCCUUGUGCCAGGCCCAGUUCUAGUCCCUGGAGUAUGCCAGCACACAGUAGGAUUUGUGCGUGCAGCACUUACAAUUUAGAGAUAAUGACACCUCAUAAACAGGAAAACCAACACUGGGCAGGGCUACCAAAAAAAAUGAUCCGAAGAAGGUGCUGUUCCUUCUUCGAUGAGGUAGGCAGGAAAGGGCUUGCUGGCGUGUUUGAACUGAGAGCUCAUGAAAAAGAGGGAGCCAAGCCCACCGGUGGGAAAGAAAGUUCCAGGUCAGGACAGUGCAAAGAACCAAAGUCUUGGAACAGUAGCCUGUGUAUGCGAAACACAUGGCUACAUGGCUAGACCAGAGUCAAUGAGAGAUAGACAGUGUGCAUGUUCGCAUGCAUAUUGUAGCAUCUGGUGAGGACUCUGGACUCUAUUCCACGUGUAAGAAUAGUUGUCUGAAGCAGUCGAUAGGGCAGGGAGAAGCAACCUGAGUUUGUCAGGAGGUUCCUGUCUGCACAAGAAAAAUGGGUCAGGGAGGGGAGAAGGAGAGCAGGGGCCCAGUUAGGAAAUGUUGCCACCUCGGAGGUAAAGCUGGUAAUAGUGGUGGCCCAGGAGGUAGCCACGCUCAGGAGUCACUUUGACUCUGUGACCCUGGUGUUUGCCAGUGCUGGGGAGGACAGGAGACAGGAAGGGGAUGGGACUGAUACUUUGAACCUGAACGCGUGGGCAAACAGAGUUGCCACCUGUAGACCUGGUAGGCACUGUUUGAGAUCCACCAGUUCUGCCGAGAGGAAGGUACGUCUAGGCCCUAGACACAGAGCCUGGUUUGUGAGCGAUCACGGGGCCUGUCGUAGUGAUUGGGGGAAAAGGAAGCACAAUGCCAUCAUCUGCCUCACAGGGUCAUCUAUGUCACUGUGCUCAUUCACUCAUUCAGUAAGACUUGAGCGAGCUCCAGACGUAAUAAGCCAGACACUUGCGCGGGUUCCCUGGGAAGAAGAGAACCCUAACGAGACAGUGUUGCAGGCUGGAAACAGUGUUGCCUUGCUUUCUUGAGACAGUGCCUGGAAACAAAGUAGCUGCAUUUUUCUACGUUGUUUCUUGACUUUUUGGUCAGGAGACAGAUAACCAGGAAGCUAAUGUAUGUAAAAGGGGCUACUGUAAGGCCAGUGUGGUGCUAUAUACCAAUCAACCCAUUACAGGAAAUAGAGGCAGAGAGAUCAAGAGUUCAAGAUCAGCCUGAACUGUGUAGUAAGACAAUACCUUGUCUUAAAUAAA